UAAUUUUUGCAAUCUUUGGAC
This 21-nucleotide non-coding RNA is filed under the name Caenorhabditis elegans. The record is from RNAcentral. Lineage: Eukaryota; Metazoa; Nematoda; Chromadorea; Rhabditida; Rhabditidae.